This is an RNA transcript of Quercus lobata, 4015 nucleotides long. RefSeq lists it as uncharacterized. NCBI's taxonomy places the organism in Eukaryota, Viridiplantae, Streptophyta, Magnoliopsida, Fagales, Fagaceae. The transcript has 5 exons. The record is from RefSeq and is a predicted model, not a curated record.
CAGUCACUCAUUUAGAAAUAUUUAUAAAAUACGAACUAGUAACAGUUACAGUUGUGUUUUGAACAUGUUGUAUAGACUUGCUCAAUUCAGGCCCUCAGAGAAGACUUGCUUUCAACAAAAAGAUAAAAAGAAAAAGUUUCUUUCAAAAAAAGAGAGAGAGAGAGAGAGAGAGAAAGCGAGAAGACACCCAGAUAUAGUAGUGGUUUUGGACUCCCGUUUCUGUCUCUCUCACAACUCCAAAAACUCACACACACAGUCUCAGUUUUCAUCUCUCACUCUCUCGUCAGCCAUAAACAUGCACUUCAGCUAGACAAUUCCACAAACACCUCAUACACUCUCUCUCUCACUGUCUUCACUCUCAAACCCCCCCAUCACCAUGUAAACAACUCCCACACUUUCAAAACCCAUAUCACAAACCAAAAACCCAACUCACUCCCUCACUCUCUAACACUCAAUUCCCAUGGCUUCCACGUGCUCACCCCACACCGACCCUCCAACUCUCCCUUUACAAAGCGAUGAAAACAUAGCUGCCAAAGCCUUGAGCAAACGCUACGAAGGCUUAGUCACUGUUCGAACCAAAGCCAUCAAAGGCAAAGGAGCUUGGUAUUGGACUCACUUGGAACCCAUUCUUGUCAAAAACCCAGAUACCAACCUUCCAAAAGCCGUGAAGCUCAAGUGCUCUCUAUGCGACGCCGUUUUCUCAGCCUCUAAUCCUUCCAGAACCGCCUCUGAGCACUUGAAACGUGGUACCUGUCCCAAUUUCAACUCUGUUACUGUCUCUUCCACAAAACCCAGUUCCUCUUCUUCGCUCUCUCCAAUACCCAUUUCUUCAAUUCCCUCUUUACACAACAACAAUAACAGCAACAACCAUAGAAAACGAAGCUCUCAAAUGGGUUCCCAUCAUUUUUCGCAUUCAUGCUCUUCUUCUCUAGCUUUGGUUGAAACGCCUUCGUCGCGUUUUUUUCAUAACCAAAACGAGUUUUUGAAUUACUCGCCGAGUAAUUCGGGGGGGCUGAGUCAGCAGCAGCACCACCACCACCACAAUCAAAACCAACACCCUUUGGUGUUAUCUGGUGGGAAAGAUGAUUUGGGUGCUUUAGCAUUGUUGGAAGAUAGUGUGAAAAAGCUUAAGAGUCCUAAAGGUUCAACUGGUCCACCACCAGUUUUAAACAAGGACCAAGUUGAUUCUGGGCUUGAGUUACUAGCAGAAUGGUUCUAUGAGUCAUGUGGGUCUGUGUCAUUUUCGAGUUUAGAGCACCCAAAGUUCAAAAAUUUUCUUAACCAAGUGGGAUUGCCUCCCUUGAGCUUGCGUCGCGAGCUCUCGGGUGCUCGGCUUGAUGCUAAGUUUGAAGAGAUUAAGAGUGAGUCUGAUGCCAGGAUUAGAGAUGCAAUGUUUUUUCAGGUUGCCAGUGAUGGGUGGAAAGGGACUAGUUGCUGUGGAUUUGCUUGUGAGGGAGAGAAUUUGGUUAAGUUUACAGUGAAUCUUCCAAAUGGGAUAAGUGUUUUUCACAAGGCAGUGUUCACAGGAGGGAUGGUGUCGUCGAAGUAUGCAGAGGAGGUUUUGUGCGAGGCGGUGAAGGGUGUGUGUGGGAAUUCUGUGCAGCAGAGAUGUGUAGGGAUAGUUGCAGAUAAGUAUAAGGCCAAGGCAUUGAGGAAUUUGGAGGUUCAGAAUCAUUGGAUGGUAAAUCUCUCUUGUCAGCUUCAAGGGUUUGUUAGUUUGAUCAAGGAUUUUAAUAAAGAGCUCCCACUUUUUAGGACUGUUACUGAGGCAUGCGUAAAGAUUGCAAAUUAUGUAAAUACUAAUUCUCAAGUUAGGAAUGCUUUCCUCAGGUGCAAGGUGCAAGAGCUUGAGUAUGCUGGGCUGCUCCGUGUUCCUUCUCCGAAAUGUGAUACUUCUAAGAACUUUGGACCUGUUUAUGUAAUGUUGGAAGAGGUAUUAAGCUGUGCCCGGGUACUUCAAAUGGUUGUGAUGGAUGAUACGUAUAAAGCGACAUGUGUGGAGGAUCCAAUUGCAAGGGAAGUUGCGGGGCUGAUUCAAAAUGAAGGGUUUUGGAAUGAGUUGGAUGCUGUAUAUUCGCUUGUGAAGCUGAUCAAAGAGAUGGCUCAGGAGAUUGAGGUUGAGAGGCCUUUAAUUGCACAAUGCCUACCUCUUUGGGAGGAUUUGAGGGGGAAAGUGAAGGACUGGUGUGCCAAGUUCAGCAUUGCUGAGGGACCUGUUGAAAAGAUUGUUGAAAAGCGAUUCAGAAAGAACUACCACCCAGCAUGGUCGGCUGCAUUCAUACUGGACCCUCUUUACUUGUUGAGAGACACAAGCGGAAAAUAUCUUCCACCAUUCAAAUGCUUGACACAUGAGCAAGAGAAGGAUGUUGAUAAGCUCAUUACCAGGUUGGUUUCCAUGGAAGAAGCUCAUGUUGCAUUAAUGGAGCUCAUGAAGUGGAGGUCAGAAGGGCUAGAGCCUCUUUAUGCUCAAGCUGUUCAGGUAAAAAAGCGAGACCCGGUUACUGGAAAGAUGAAAAUUGCAAACCCACAGAGCAGCAGACUUGUAUGGGAAACUUGCCUAAGUGAGUUUAAGUGUCUGGGUAAGGUUGCAGUGAGGCUCAUAUUCCUCCAUGCAACCGCUUGUUCAUUUAAGUGUAAUUGGUCUUCCAUGAAAUGGGUUUGUGUUCAUAGACACUCAAGGGUGGGCCUGGAAAGGGCCCAGAAAAUGAUAUUUAUUGCAGCUCAUGCCAAGCUUGAAAGACGGGAGUUUUCUAAUGAGGAAGAAAAGGACGCAGAGCUAUUUGCCAUGACUGGCAGUGAUGAUGAGAUGCUCAAUGAGGUCUUUGCCGAUGCACCCUCCUCAGUGGCUGGGUUUGAUUGAACUGGUUGGGUGAAUGGCAAAGCAGACUAGAGUCACCACAUUGGUCAACCUCAGAAGGAUUUGAGAGUGAAUUGUUCUAGCCAAAAGAAGCACUUCCUAUUGAUUUUACUCAACCAUAUCUCCUGGAGUGUCUUUUUUUAAAAUUGGAGAGCCCCACAAGAGGAGUGGAGGUCAAUCCCAGUGCUUUCGUCAUAGUCGAAGAAAAGUGAGAAACAAGGGGACUUCUUUCCCAUCAAUUCUCUCUCUGAUUUUUUGUUUUUUUGUUUAUAUUUUCAUUUAAGUUCUAUUAUAUCAUCUCAGGUAACUUACCUUUUAAACAUUCCAAAUUUCAUGACAUAUUACUCUUGAUUUGCGCCCUUUUGUAAACUUUUGAUCUCAACGUUGAAAAUUGAAGUUUUGCAGAGUAAUCUGAUAAGGCUUGUCAUGAUUACUAAAAAAAGUCUUGAGCAAAGUGGAAGCAAGGGAAACUGUCGGUCUGAGGAGGCACAUAAGAUGGCUGAAAGGGAUAUUGCAACGAACUUGAAAUUUGCAUGUAAAUUUUAGCCAGCAUUGUUGACUAGAAAGAGUAGGCUUGGAACUGGUUGGUGGAACAGAUAGGUCCUGAUAUCACUAAACAUGGUGGAAAUCUGGAAACUGGAAUCAUUCAAUCUGGUUUUGGAUCUGACAGGUCGCCUAUGCUAUUGCUAACCAUGAAGAAAAACAUAUAGUUAUAUUCUGACAAAUGAAUAAUACACAAUGCAGGCUGAAAUAGUAUAUGAGCAGUACAAUGAGUGUAUUUGCAUUUGCUACUCAAAUUUGGUGAACAGACACCGGAUCCUGUCGGCAACAUAGAGCAAUGCUGACUGCUCACCAACUUGGAAGAAAAGCUUUUUUCACUUGUAUGGUAUGGCUUCAUUGUUCAGCCCACUCAUGUUCUAGUUAAAAAGGGAAGGAGAUAUAAUGAUUAGUAUAGGACAAGACUCUCUUUCUACAAGAAUCUUUACCCUUUCAAUGUUCCCUCAUAAUUAACUUUCUUUUUUAUCAUCUCUCUCUUUUCCUUUCCACUUAUACCACUCUUGAUUGUUUUUGAAUUUGAAGGCCAUCCAUGUAAAGUAGAUGAUAUUGAAAUUGAUUGGUAGUAUUCAUUGCUGGUGACCCUUCUUUGCCUUCUCUAUG